AUCAUUGGGCGUAAGCGCCUGCAGGCUGUUUUUAAGUCUGUUGUUAAAGACUAGGGCUUAACCCUAGCAAAGCAAUGGAACUGCUAGACUAGAGUAUGGUAGGGGUAGAGGGAAUUUCUAGUGUAGCGGUGAAAUGCGUAGAUAUUAGAAAGAACACCGGUGGCGAAAGCGCUCUACUGGACCAUUACUGACACUCAGAGGACGAAAGCUAGGGUAGCAAAAGGGGAUUAGAUACCCCUGGUAGA
This 245-nucleotide ribosomal RNA is filed under the name uncultured cyanobacterium. RNAcentral describes it as "partial 16S ribosomal RNA". It matches the Rfam family "Bacterial small subunit ribosomal RNA", at positions 550 to 794 of the family's 1533-position model. Lineage: Bacteria; Bacillati; Cyanobacteriota. The record is from RNAcentral.